This 2909-nucleotide ribosomal RNA is filed under the name Salmonella enterica subsp. enterica serovar Typhimurium. The record is from RNAcentral. Lineage: Bacteria; Pseudomonadati; Pseudomonadota; Gammaproteobacteria; Enterobacterales; Enterobacteriaceae.
GGUUAAGCGACUAAGCGUACACGGUGGAUGCCCUGGCAGUCAGAGGCGAUGAAGGGCGUGCUAAUCUGCGAUAAGCGCCGGUAAGGUGAUAUGAACCGUUAUAACCGGCGAUACCCGAAUGGGGAAACCCAGUGUGAUUCGUCACACUAUCAUUAACUGAAUCCAUAGGUUAAUGAGGCGAACCGGGGGAACUGAAACAUCUAAGUACCCCGAGGAAAAGAAAUCAACCGAGAUUCCCCCAGUAGCGGCGAGCGAACGGGGAGGAGCCCAGAGCCUGAAUCAGCAUGUGUGUUAGUGGAAGCGUCUGGAAAGGCGCGCGAUACAGGGUGACAGCCCCGUACACAAAAGCGCAUGUGCUGUGAGCUCGAUGAGUAGGGCGGGACACGUGGUAUCCUGUCUGAAUAUGGGGGGACCAUCCUCCAAGGCUAAAUACUCCUGACUGACCGAUAGUGAACCAGUACCGUGAGGGAAAGGCGAAAAGAACCCCGGCGAGGGGAGUGAAAAAGAACCUGAAACCGUGUACGUACAAGCAGUGGGAGCACCCUUCGGGGUGUGACUGCGUACCUUUUGUAUAAUGGGUCAGCGACUUAUAUUCUGUAGCAAGGUUAACCGUAUAGGGGAGCCGGAGGGAAACCGAGUCUUAACCGGGCGUUAAGUUGCAGGGUAUAGACCCGAAACCCGGUGAUCUAGCCAUGGGCAGGUUGAAGGUUGGGUAACACUAACUGGAGGACCGAACCGACUAAUGUUGAAAAAUUAGCGGAUGACCUGUGGCUGGGGGUGAAAGGCCAAUCAAACCGGGAGAUAGCUGGUUCUCCCCGAAAGCUAUUUAGGUAGCGCCUCGUGAAUUCAUCUCCGGGGGUAGAGCACUGUUUCGGCUAGGGGGCCAUCCCGGCUUACCAACCCGAUGCAAACUGCGAAUACCGGAGAAUGUUAUCACGGGAGACACACGGCGGGUGCUAACGUCCGUCGUGAAGAGGGAAACAACCCAGACCGCCAGCUAAGGUCCCAAAGUCAUGGUUAAGUGGGAAACGAUGUGGGAAGGCCCAGACAGCCAGGAUGUUGGCUUAGAAGCAGCCAUCAUUUAAAGAAAGCGUAAUAGCUCACUGGUCGAGUCGGCCUGCGCGGAAGAUGUAACGGGGCUAAACCAUGCACCGAAGCUGCGGCAGCGAACGUAUCACCCAAGACAACUUUACGGAGUUGACGAUUGACGGAGCGAAGCGACGUCAAAGCGUUCAUUAAAGUCGAGUUGGCUUAGGGAUAUUAAGAGAAGAUUUUCAGCACUGAUUCAGAUUACAUCAGAACGUAAAAACGGUCUGAUAACAUUAAGAGAAGAUUUUCAGCACUGAUUCAGAUUACAUCAGAACGUAAAAACGGUCUGNNNAUAACAGAAUUUGCCUGGCGGCACUAGCGCGGUGGUCCCACCUGACCCCAUGCCGAACUCAGAAGUGAAACGCCGUAGCGCCGAUGGUAGUGUGGGGUCUCCCCAUGCGAGAGUAGGGAACUGCCAGGCAUCAAAUUUAGUGUGCUGAUAUGGCUCAGUUGGUAGAGCGCACCCUUGGUAAGGGUGAGGUCCCCAGUUCGACUCUGGGUAUCAGCACCACUUAAUACGGUUAAAGUUCGGUAUUUGAAAAAGAAUUUGUCUGGCGGCAGUAGCGCGGUGGUCCCACCUGACCCCAUGCCGAACUCAGAAGUGAAACGCCGUAGCGCCGAUGGUAGUGUGGGGUCUCCCCAUGCGAGAGUAGGGAACUGCCAGACAUCAAAUAAAACAAAAGGCUCAGUCGAAAGACUGGGCCUUUUGUUUUAUCUGUUGUUUGUCGGUGAGUAGUCUCCUGAGGAGGACAAAUCCGCCGGGAGCGGAUUUGAACGUUGCGCAGCAACGGCCCGUAGGGUGGCGGGCAGGACGCCCGCCAUAAACUGCCAGACAUCAAAUAAAGCAAAGGGCCCAAUCGAAAGACUGGGCCUUUUUGCAUUUAUCUCUCUAUGGAAAAAGUUAUCGGAUAAUGACGCCGACGCGUUUUAAACAUCUUCGUAGAGUGGAUAAAAACCGUUUUAGUCAACGUGAUUUCCCACCAUAUAUCCGCCUGAACCAUCGAAUGUGAACCGUGCUGAAGUAGAUGUACAAACGGCUUUUACUUACGCCUCUAAUAAGCAAUAGAGAUAUUCGCUGAGGACUAAAAAUCUGGCCCAUUAGGCUAUUUUAUUUGCCAGUUUGGCCUAGGGACAGUGCUCAAAAUCCUCAUGUAUUACGUGUAUGUUCCGGUUUAUAUCCAGACUGUCUGUAAUAAUUACGCCUAAUGAUCACGCUCUAAGUCUUACUGUAUAAAGCCUGUUUGUAAUGCGGCUUACGAUGCUAUCAAGCUAUAAUUUUGUCUGCAUCGGACAAGGAAUAGAAUAAAUACCAUCGGGAUGGGCGAGUAAGAAAAGAGAGCGUUUUAUCGUGUUAACUUUCGGGGGACAGGCUGAACAGAUUACGUCGCUGAGUAUCCUUACGACCUUUAUAUUAUUACUGAAAGCGCGGCAUUGCCGCGCCUGCAUGUAUCAUUUAGAAAGCGCAAUGAUACCCAUCGUCAACCCUGCUACCGCCGCAGCGCCGCCAGCAAUAGCGCCUGCUGUCUCCCAGUUAUCCUGCGUUGUACCUUUCAUACAUGUAUUGGUAUGAACCAGCCGCCCUUGAUCGUCAUAAACCGGUACGCAGGGAGAAUCAUGUGCACAACCUGCCAAUAAGGUGGUAAGCAAUGCAACUGGAAUUAGUCUUUUCAUGGUGUUACCUCAUUAAUCAGCGUUUCGCGAAGUACAGCAACGUAAUGCUGGCUCUAACCGCUGCGAAAACGAGAGUUAUUUUACCACCACAGAAAAAAUGGCCGACAUGAGGAAUCAUCUCAAUUCAUGUGAAUUGUAAAAACUAUGGA